This 72-nucleotide transfer RNA is filed under the name Sphaerodactylus townsendi. Its description in RNAcentral is "tRNA-Ala". It matches the Rfam family "tRNA". Rfam says of the family: Transfer RNA (tRNA) molecules are approximately 80 nucleotides in length. Their secondary structure includes four short double-helical elements and three loops (D, anti-codon, and T loops). Lineage: Eukaryota; Metazoa; Chordata; Lepidosauria; Squamata; Sphaerodactylidae. The record is from RNAcentral.
GGGGCUGUGGCUGAGUGGUAGAGCAUCAGCUUGGCAUGCAGAAGGUCCCAAGUUCAAGCCUUGGUGGACCAA